RNAcentral lists this ribosomal RNA (477 nucleotides) under Candidatus Scalindua brodae. RNAcentral describes it as "bacterial SSU rRNA". It matches the Rfam family "Bacterial small subunit ribosomal RNA", at positions 365 to 832 of the family's 1533-position model. The record is from RNAcentral. Lineage: Bacteria; Pseudomonadati; Planctomycetota; Candidatus Brocadiia; Candidatus Brocadiales; Candidatus Scalinduaceae. RNAcentral also lists the same sequence under 1 other name.
UUCGCAAUGCCCGAAAGGGUGACGAAGCGACGCCGCGUGGGUGAGGAAGGCCUUCGGGUUGUAAAGCCCUGUCAGGAGUUAAGAAAUGUAAGUGCGCUAAUAUCGCAUUUAUUUGACGAAGGCUCCAAAGGAAGUCACGGCUAACUCUGUGCCAGCAGCCGCGGUAAUACAGAGGUGGCAAGCGUUGUUUGGAAUUAUUGGGCGUAAAGAGCACGUAGGUGGGUUUGCAAGUCAGAUGUGAAAGCCUCCUGUUCAACGGGAGAAUUGCAUCUGAAACUGCAGAUCUUGAGUGUAGGAGGGGAGAAUGGAACUUCUGGUGGAGCGGUGAAAUGCGUAGAUAUCAGAGGGAACGCCGGCGGCGAAAGCGAUUCUCUGGCCUAUUACUGACACUCAGUGUGCGAAAGCUAGGGGAGCAAACGGGAUUAGAUACCCCGGUAGUCCUAGCCGUAAACGAUGGGCACUAAGUAGAGGGGUUUU